RNAcentral lists this long non-coding RNA (328 nucleotides) under Ananas comosus (pineapple). RNAcentral's name for it is "long non-coding RNA (ACOM_LNC023380)". Lineage: Eukaryota; Viridiplantae; Streptophyta; Magnoliopsida; Poales; Bromeliaceae. The record is from RNAcentral.
AAUAUCUGAUUGUGAUUUAAGUCUAAAUAAAUUUUGUGAUAAAAUUAAUAAAAUCAACUUACCGAUAAUCGCAAAAUCCAAAUAAAUAUUUUAAUUGAUCCGAAAGCGUGCAAGGCACUGCCCUAAGGCGUAUUCCCGCCUUUACGUACGGGAUUAACCGAAAAUAACACCCCAAGGUACGACCGGAAUUCCUCCUCCUGCGAGCACGAUCGUGAAGGAGGUUGACAGAGACUCUUUCAACACCCAAUGAUAAAAAGAUCAAAACACAAUAAAAUAAAGAAUUUAAAUAAAGUUUCUACUUUCAUUUUUUCACUUAAAUCUCUCUCUC